AGAGUUUGAUUAUGGCUCAGGACGAACGCUGGCGGCGCGCCUAACACAUGCAAGUCGAACGGAGCUGUCUGUUGGAAGUUUUCGGAUGGAAGAUAGAGAGCUUAGUGGCGGACGGGUGAGUAACGCGUGAGCAACCUGCCUUCGAGAGGGGAAUAGCACCUGGAAACGGGUGGUAAUACCGCAUAAGCCGGGAAUACCGCAUGGUAUAACUGGAAAAGGAGCAAUCCGCUUGAAGAUGGGCUCGCGCCCGAUUAGAUAGUUGGUGAGGUAACGGCUCACCAAGUCGACGAUCGGUAGCCGGACUGAGAGGUUGAACGGCCACAUUGGGACUGAGACACGGCCCAG
Molecule: ribosomal RNA, 345 nt
Filed under: uncultured bacterium
Lineage: Bacteria
Description: bacterial SSU rRNA
Rfam family: Bacterial small subunit ribosomal RNA
Source: RNAcentral